This is a long non-coding RNA of Austrofundulus limnaeus, 758 nucleotides long. RefSeq lists it as uncharacterized. The transcript is spliced from 3 exons. Lineage: Eukaryota; Metazoa; Chordata; Actinopteri; Cyprinodontiformes; Rivulidae. The record is from RefSeq and is a predicted model, not a curated record.
CUCACUUCCCAGGGUGGUGGAGAAUGACUGAGCUAAGAUCCUGUGACUUCCAGAAUCAAACAGACAAGAGGGUAGUGGCCAACAGCCGGACAUUGUGAUCCCUGAGCAGCAGAGGACAGCUGUUGUGAUUGAUGGACAUUCCUAAUGAUGGAAACAUCAGGGAAAUGGAACAUGAGAAACUUUAGAGAUCCCAUGGGCUCAGGGGUCACCACAGUGGAUCAUCUGCCUCCAUCUCAUCCUAUCCCCUGCUUCCUCUACUGUUACACCAACCAGAAUCUUCUCUGCGGUCUUCCUCUUCUCCUUGUGCCUGGCAGCUCCAUCUCCAACAUCCUUUGUCCAAUGUAAAGAGACAUCCCAGUUCUUUAGGGCCAUGCAAACAAGUGGGAACCAUCGCUGUUCCAUGGAGGGACGAGUAAAUAAGAAGGGUUCUUUUCUACAUAAAAGCCUCCAGAUGACCUAUGGUUCCAGCCAGUCCUUUGAAGAAACAGAGGACAAUCAAAAGGACAAAUGUGAUGGACCUCCUGUGCGAGAUACAAGAUGAAUGUGAAGCAGUGCGUCGGCUCUGUGAUGUCUUUGACCUGAUAGUUCAAAGCUGCUCUUGGACUCUGGACCCCCGUUCAGAAUGUGAGCACCUCAGACAAAGGCUUUGUUCAUAAUAAAGUAAAUCCAGCACAUUGUUCCUUUGAGCUGAACAUCACCAUUUCAGCAGGGGAGGACCCUCUUCAGACCUGAGCAGUGCAUGAAUGUGCCAACAAAUU